This 536-nucleotide ribosomal RNA is filed under the name Kyklioacalles abstersus. RNAcentral's name for it is "partial 16S ribosomal RNA". It matches the Rfam family "Bacterial large subunit ribosomal RNA", at positions 1819 to 2625 of the family's 2925-position model. The record is from RNAcentral. Lineage: Eukaryota; Metazoa; Arthropoda; Insecta; Coleoptera; Curculionidae.
GUCCUUUUGAUUAUAAUUUAAGGUCUAGCCUGCCCAAUGAUGUAAAUUUAAUGGCCGCAGUAUACUGACUGUGCAAAGGUAGCAUAAUCAUUAGUUUUUUAAUUGAAAGCUUGUAUGAAAGGUUUGAUGAAAAAAAAGUUGUCUCUGAGUAAAAUUUUUGAAAUUUAUUUUUAAGUUAAAAAGCUUAAAUUAUUAUUGAAGACGAGAAGACCCUAUAGAGUUUUAUUUAUAUUAUAAUAAAUUGAGUUUUAGGAUUUUAAAUUUUUUAUUAUUAUAUAAAUUUAGUUGGGGUGAUUGAAAAAUUUAUUAAACUUUUUUUUUAUUUAGACAUUUAUUUAUGAAUCUUUGAUCCUUUGUAAGAUUAUAAGAUAAAAUUACCUUAGGGAUAACAGCGUAAUUUUUUUUAGAGUUCUUAUCGAAAAGAAAGAUUGCGACCUCGAUGUUGGAUUAAAAUUAAAUUUUUGGUGUAGAAGCUAAAAGAUUAGGUCUGUUCGACCUUUAAAAUUUUACAUGAUCUGAGUUUAAACCGGUGUAAG